RNAcentral lists this ribosomal RNA (259 nucleotides) under uncultured bacterium. RNAcentral's name for it is "partial 16S ribosomal RNA". It matches the Rfam family "Bacterial small subunit ribosomal RNA", at positions 524 to 776 of the family's 1533-position model. The record is from RNAcentral.
UACGUAGGGGUGCAAGCGUUUAAUCGGAAUUACUGGGCGUAAAGCGUGCGCAGGCGGUUUUUGUAAGUUUGUCGUGAAAUCCCCCGGGCUCAACCUGGGAAUGGCGAUGAAGACUGCAAGGCUAGAAUCUGGCAGAGGGGGGGUAGAAUUCCACGUGUAGCAGUGAAAAUGCGUAGAGAUGUGGAGGAACACCGAUGGCGAAGGCAGCCCCCUGGGUCAAGAUUGACGCUCAUGCACGAAAGCGUGGGGAGCAAACAGG